Molecule: long non-coding RNA, 1883 nt
Organism: Dreissena polymorpha
Lineage: Eukaryota; Metazoa; Mollusca; Bivalvia; Myida; Dreissenidae
Exons: 3
Source: RefSeq, a predicted model, not a curated record
ACAUAGGUUGCAAAGACGAUCAUGGAAUGGGAUGCCUUCAAAGCGGCCAGUUUCUACAGGGAGGAGGUGGUUGGCAGUGCGGAAUCUAAAGAUACUUUGGGACUCAUCUGGAUGAAUUUUAAUCAGGUCAGAGGCACUACUUGAGACAAUGACGGUGUCAUCUGCAUACAAUAGGACCAGAAGCUUAAGCCACAAUAUUGCAGUAUCUGGGUUGAUAAGUUCAACCCCAACAGAUCCAUUUAUAUGCAGGUUAGAGGCACAGUGUCUUCCCCCGGGGUCCCAGUGAGCUCCGCCCCGGUUAGGUGUGUUCCUGGAUCCAGAUGUGUCCCAUGCCUGUAUCGGUGGUUGAGGCUGCGAUGAGCCAAGCUGUUGAGCCGUUUUCAACUGGCGGUUUGGGGAAUCCCUGCGAGGUGCGUGUUGGGCCGUUUCCGACUGGCGGUUUGAGGGAUCCCUGCGGGGUGCGUGUUUUGCCGUUUCCGACUGGCAGUUUGGGUGGUCCCUGCUAGGUGCGUGUGGACGAGGAUUCCUCCUCCGGGAAGGCGAUGGCGAUUGUUGCUUUCGCGGAGUCCUGCGCUCAAACAAAGGGGAAGCAUCGCGCUGGCUACGCUCCUGCGACACAGUCUUGUUCGAGUCGUUGGACUGGGCACGAGGAGCCUGUAACAUGGCUGGCUGUGUGUGGGAUCUGUUUACAUAUCUAGCUGGAGCAUACUGAGUGUUUGUGAAAAAAUUGUUGUGCUUUGUAACACGGCUGCCUUGCAUGAUCGUAUCCCAGUUCGGAAAGGCAUCAGCGACAACGCGACCAUCUUGAAUGAUUUUGGCUGGAUAUAUUAUGCUGGCCUUGCUUUUUGGAUAUUCUUGGCGAAGGCGCUUGAACUGUGGCCAUAAUUGCUUGCGAGCAUCAACAAUCUCGCGUGGAUAAUCUCUAUUUAUGUGAAAAAGUGUUCCGCUGAGCUUGUUAGCAUUCGAGAGGAUGUGCUCAGUAUCACGGAAAUCCAGACAGUAUAUAAUGAUGGGUCGUGUGGAGCCGUGCCGGAAUUUCCCCAGUCUGUGUAUUCGGGGGAUAGAAGGACAGGGGUCGCUCUCAUGCUUCUCUCUCAAGAAAGUUGAUAUUUUAUGGAGACAAUUUUCAUCCCUGUCCUCUGGGAUUCCACUGAUUAGAAGGUUAUUUCGGCGACACCUAGCUUCGAGAUCUAUAGACUUGUACUCUAGUAGCUUAAUUUGCCGAUCAUGGUUAGACAAUGUUGUUUCCAUAGUGUUUACUUUGUUUUGCAAGUUCAGACAACUGUCAACUUUAUGAGAUAUGCCUUUCAUUUCCUGGAACAGCAUAGACAGCUUAGCAUCAAGUGAGAGACUCUCGUAGUCCGACAAUGUUUGAGACCGUUCGUACUCACUGUUACUGCUGCCCGUGUUUACCCGAGGCCGCUUUUUCUCUUGUAGCCGUUGACCAAGGUCCGCCAUUUCGACUGAAAGUCUCAUUGUCCAACACAUUAAAAUCGUUUCUGGUGAGAAAUUGUGAUCGAGCGUCCGAGUUUUGAUGUUCCAUGUUUGUGAAAUGCUGGAACUUACACUUGUACACACUUUAUCAUACCAUUAUUAAGUGUUCAUAACAUUGUUUUCGUUGUUUUUGCUAUUUUUUACUCUGUUAGAAAAAAAAACACGGUUAUCCGCGCACUCGACCGGAAGUCUACUCAACUAUCUACAGUCUACAGAACUAUCCAAAUUAUUCAAUCGUUUCGCGUUGCAACGUAGCUCACUUAAAAAUAGCUUAAGUGUAUGGAAAGCUAAUUACAUAUUUUUGACGUUAUAUACGCAAGUUUAGAGUUACUUUUAAAGUUAGUACACUAAUAUGAGAUUUAAUUCCCAGACACAUUAUUUUACGUAAA